CACAGAACAUAUCUCAUUCUUUAAAUGCCUGAACCCAAAUGAGUAUAGGUGAAGGGAACGGAAACAUCAAGUGCACUACACCGUAGAUAGUAACAGCAAAUAAAUGGGUUCCUCAAAUUAGCAUCACACCAGUAUGAUGAAGAACUGACCCAAUCUAUAAGAAUGAUGGCAAAACAAUCAACGACAACCCAAAUUAGUAUGAUGAAGAAGAUGAAGAUUUUUGAGAGCUCGACUCCGAACUUAAUUUACCAAUCAACUUCUUGGCAGACAUCUUCGUCUGAAGGAAACUGCUGAUCACUGAAUCGAAGACCACCAUCGUCAAGUUCAGGGUCGACAUUCAUCCUGUCAUUCGAUUGAUAUUAAACAACAACCACGAAUCCUGUCAGUUGAUUCAAUCUGGUUGCUGGUUUCCUCUUUCCCUUCGAUAACAAACACUCACUACAGCCCAGACACCAGAUUUUUUUUUUUACAUCUGUUUACAACGAAAAAAUUAAAUAUAAUCCGAACCAAAAUACAUCUGUGUAUUUACCUCCAUAAUCUUACCCCGUAUUUACCCUAACCCCUAAAUAUUAACCCCGUAUUUACGCUAACUCUAUACAUAUCAGAUAACCCACGUGUGGCCUCUAUCUCGUCGACACGUGGACAAACAUACUGGGUGCAGCACCCUGUGGGUACAUUCUAGACGUCUCACUUAGCUAGCUCUCAUCGUUUUCCUUGGAUCCAGUUUCUUCUCUCUUCUCACACACAGUUUCUUUUCCGGUAAGGCCAUCUUAAACUUUUAAAAUAAGGAUGUUUUAGUUCUAGCAUGUAUUUUGACAAUCAAAGCCACACAUUUCCUAAUUAUUUACUCACAUAUGAAGUAUACAAAAAAUUAGCCAAAAUGAAAAACGUUUAACCAUUUGAUUAACACAAUAUUCGUUUUAAUUUUAUUUAACGGCCUACAAUUGUUUACAUCAAUUUGAAUGAUCAAAUGAUCAUGCAAUUAGUUAAAAUUUUGUAGACAUGUUUCUUGCAUAUGAAUAUAGAGGAUCAACAGUUGAGAUCGUUAAAAGAAGUCAUCUACUAAUGUAAAAUAGUAGAAAUCCUCAAAUUCUUAAAGUAAGGAGGUCUUCUUUAUAUAUA
Molecule: long non-coding RNA, 1122 nt
Filed under: Fragaria vesca (wild strawberry)
Lineage: Eukaryota; Viridiplantae; Streptophyta; Magnoliopsida; Rosales; Rosaceae
Description: long non-coding RNA (FVES_LNC004709)
Source: RNAcentral